CAGCCAGGAUGUUGGCUUAGAAGCAGCCAUCAUUUAAAGAAAGCGUAAUAGCUCACUGGUCGAGUCGGUCUGCGCGGAAGAUGUAACGGGGCUAAACUAGACACCGAAGCUGCGGAUGCACACUUGUUGUGCAUGGUAGAGGAGCGUUCUGUAAGCGGUUGAAGGUGUGUCGAGAGGCAUGCUGGACGUAUCAGAAGUGCGAAUGCUGACAUGAGUAACGUUAAAGCGGGUGAAAAACCCGCUCGCCGGAAGA
This 253-nucleotide ribosomal RNA is filed under the name Ferrimonas sediminicola. RNAcentral describes it as "Bacterial large subunit ribosomal RNA". It matches the Rfam family "Bacterial large subunit ribosomal RNA", at positions 1090 to 1344 of the family's 2925-position model. The record is from Rfam by way of RNAcentral. Lineage: Bacteria; Pseudomonadati; Pseudomonadota; Gammaproteobacteria; Alteromonadales; Ferrimonadaceae.